AGAUCAUCUCCUGUAUUUAAUCCCCAACCGACAACACCCAGGAAUGUUAUAGCCAAAUUCAAAAACUAUCAGACCAAAGAAAAGAUAUUACAAGCUGCCAAGAAGCAGCCAUUCAGAUACCAUGGAAACACAGUGAGGAUAACACAGGAUCUGGCUACAUCCACACUGAAGGACCAAAAGGUAUGGAAUAUGAUAUUCUGGAAAGCAAGGGAACUAGGUCUACAACCAAGAAUCAAAUACCCAUUGUAAUGGUGAAAAUUUCACCUUUUUUUAAGAUUGAUGUAAUAUUGAACAAUGGCCGCCAAGGAAUUUACUUAUGAAAUUCCUAAAAUGAAACACUCAAGUCAGAAUGAAGUUUAUGGAGGUUUAAUCACACUGGGAGUAGGGAAAGGAGAGGGAGAGAAGAGAAGAGAAAAGGGAAAGGGGCUACUCAACCUCUGACCAAGGUAGAGGGAGUUUUAGGCCCAACGGGCCAAGGUGGAAAGAAUCACUCCUUAACUCACGUGAGUGAUCUGAAGGAAAGCUGUCUGCGGGUGUCCUCCCUGUCCAAGCUCCUAACACCAACUCGCGUCUAGCUCUCUCCACAGGAAGUGAGCGAAUUCCAGAGGCUGUUCCCUACCUCACUUCCUGUGUCUCACAAGUGCCAAUGGUUGGCUCUAGCUUGGCUUAGGACAGUCCAGGUGGGCAGUUAGUUAUUUCUGAUUUGUCAUUGACUAGCACAUGCCCGUGUAGUGUGGGUGUGCACAAUUUUUGGGUGCUAUACCAAGAUGGAGAUUUUUAAAAUUCACACCAUCAAAACUGACUAUAUUCUUACAGGGGAAAGAAUGGUCAUUCAACACAAUAGAAGAAUUCCAAGCAUUCAUAAAGAAAAGACCAGACCUGAACAGAAAAUUUGAUGUCCAAGCACAGAGCUCAAGAGAAUCGUCAAAAGCCUCCUUUAAUCCUAGGCUGCCACCCCACGCAGAGCAGUCUAGCGAGCAGAGCUGAGCUGGUGACCUCCCAAGAAACCCCCAAGCCACUUCUGCCAAAGGCCAGAGACACCCCAGAGGAAUCUUCCUCCGACCCAUCUCUUGGGCCACAGCCGGGGGGAGGGAGGGGUGCGGGAGAGGGAGAGAGUCUCAAGUGAGAGAGACUCAGACAGACAGACAGACAGACAGAGAGCACUCAGCCCUUCCUCACCCAACACCAUCUCCUAAAACCGAGAAGAUUUGGCGUCUUCAUCUAGUCGGAGAACCACAACCACAAUCUGGGCUCCACUCUAAGGCUGGCCCUUUCUCACUCACUCCCACCUUGGAAAGAUGGAGCCCUAGGAGAGCACCAUCCAGUGCAGCCGAUGGAACAACAGCCAGGAUGAGGUCAGCAUGAAUGUGUCGACUCCAGAGAGCUCCAGCUGUGAGCAGAUCUACAAUAAACUAUGCACUGGGAAGCUGGGCA
RNAcentral lists this long non-coding RNA (1434 nucleotides) under Monodelphis domestica (gray short-tailed opossum). RNAcentral describes it as "lncRNA (ENSMODG00000042732.1)". Lineage: Eukaryota; Metazoa; Chordata; Mammalia; Didelphimorphia; Didelphidae. The record is from RNAcentral.